CAUUUAUAUCAGAGGGUGUUCAGGAGGAGUAUGAUGAUGUGAAGAAUGUCAGAGAAUAUAUGAGUGACAUGUUUGACUAUGAUGAUGUGGAGGAGGAUCCAGGAAAACAGGCAGGAGCUGUAUAACUCAAACCUCACACACUGCCUUAAAUCCUUUUAAAGCUUUUAAAGUUUUAGCAAUCUUACUGUAUAAGUUUCAGUUGCAGGCUAACAAUGUUUUGUUACAUUCUGUACUGAAAUAUACAAUUGCAAUUU
Long non-coding RNA from Cyprinus carpio (common carp), 254 nucleotides. RefSeq lists it as uncharacterized. NCBI's taxonomy places the organism in Eukaryota, Metazoa, Chordata, Actinopteri, Cypriniformes, Cyprinidae. The record is from RefSeq and is a predicted model, not a curated record.